AAACGAAUCCGGCAAAUUCGCACACGUGUCAGCACGUUGUCCCAGGGUGCCUGCUCCUGUUCUAGAGUUAUAAAGGAGCCUGGUUGGGGCAAUCGGACGCGUGGAGGACUAAC
This 113-nucleotide small RNA is filed under the name Marinobacter antarcticus. Its description in RNAcentral is "Marinobacter sp. ZS2-30 t44 RNA". It matches the Rfam family "t44 RNA". From Rfam's summary of the family: This family consists of a number of bacterial RNA genes of between 135 and 170 bases in length. Lineage: Bacteria; Pseudomonadati; Pseudomonadota; Gammaproteobacteria; Pseudomonadales; Marinobacteraceae. The record is from Rfam by way of RNAcentral.